Molecule: ribosomal RNA, 1391 nt
Filed under: uncultured bacterium
Lineage: Bacteria
Description: bacterial SSU rRNA
Rfam family: Bacterial small subunit ribosomal RNA
Source: RNAcentral
GACUCCCCGGGAUAACAGGCCGAAAGGCCUGCUAAUACCGGGUAAGCUCACGGAGUCGCAUGGCUUUGGGAGAAAAAGCCCUGCAAGGGGUUGGGGUCAGAGGGGUCCGCGGUCCAUUACCUAGUUGGAGGGGUAACGGCCCACCAAGGCGACGAUGGAUAGCCGGCCUGAGAGGGCGACCGGCCACACUGGGACUGAGACACGGCCCAGACUCCUACGGGAGGCAGCAGUCGGGAAUUUUGGGCAAUGGCCGAAAGGGCUGACCCAGCAACGCCGCGUGAGUGAAGAAGGCCUUCGGGUUGUAAAGCUCUGUUGCCCGUGAAGAACGGUGCUUUUAGGAAAUGGGAAGCACUUGACGGUAGCGGGUGAGGAAGCCCCGGCUAACUACUCGCCAGCAGCCGCGGUAAUACGUAGGGGGCGAGCGUUGUCCGGAUUUAUUGGGCGUAAAGGGCGUGUAGGCGGCUUGUUAAGUCGGGGGUGAAACUCCGCAGCUCAACUGCGGACCUGCCUCCAAUACUGGCGAGCUUGAUUACUCUAAAGGGCAGUGGAAUUCCCGGUGUACCAUUGAAAUGCGUAAAGAUCGGGAGGAACACCAGUGGCGAAGGCGGCUGCCUGGGGAGAAACUGACGCUGAGGCGCGAAAGCUGGGGGAGCAAACGGGAUUAGAUACCCCGGUAGUCCCAGCCGUAAACGAUGAGUGCUAGGUGUAGGGGGUAUCGACCCCCUCCUGUGCCGCAGUUAACGCAAUAAGCACUCCGCCUGGGGAGUACGGCCGCAAGGUUGAAACUCAAAGGAAUUGACGGGGGCCCGCACAAGCAGCGGAGCAUGUGGUUUAAUUCGAAGCAACGCGUAGAACCUUACCAGGGCUUGACAUGUAGCGAACCCGCCAGAGAUGGUGGGGUGCUCCUUCGGGAGAGCGCUAACACAGGUGGUGCAUGGUUGUCGUCAGCUCGUGUCGUGAGAUGUUGGGUUAAGUCCCGCAACGAGCGCAACCCUUGCUGUAUGUUGCCAACGGAUGAUGCCGGGCACUCAUACAGGACUGCCGGUGACAAACCGGAGGAAGGUGGGGAUGACGUCAAAUCAUCAUGCCCCUUAUGUCCUGGGCGACACACGUGCUACAAUGGGCGCGACCCCCAAUUGUCCGUGCACAUUGCGAGUUUAGCGUGUACGGACAAUUGGGGGUCGAACAAAGCGAACCGAAACCGCGAGGUGGAGGAAACCGCAAAAGGCGCUCGUAGUUCAGAUCGCAGGCUGCAACUCGCUUGCGUGAAGCCGGAGUUGCUAGUAAUCGCUGAUCAGCACGCAGCGGUGAAUACGUUCCCGGGCCUUGUACACACCGCCCGUCACACCAUGGGAGCUGGUAACACCCGAAGUCGGUGAGCUAACACGCAA